UAAGAUGCUUCUAGGCAGCGUGGUUCCUGU
This 30-nucleotide non-coding RNA is filed under the name Mus musculus (house mouse). The record is from RNAcentral. Lineage: Eukaryota; Metazoa; Chordata; Mammalia; Rodentia; Muridae.